AGAGUUUGAUCCUGGCUCAGAGCGAACGCUGGCGGCAGGCCUAACACAUGGAAGUCGAGCGGUCCUUCGGGACAGUGGCGGACGGGUGAGUAACACGUGGGAACGUGCCCUUUGGUACGGAACAACUCAGGGAAACUUGAGCUAAUACCGUAUGUGCCCUACGGGGGAAAGAUUUAUCGCCAUUGGAGCGGCCCGCGUCUGAUUAGCUAGUUGGUGAGGUAAAGGCUCACCAAGGCGACGAUCAGUAGCUGGUCUGAGAGGAUGAUCAGCCACACUGGGACUGAGACACGGCCCAGACUCCUACGGGAGGCAGCAGUGGGGAAUAUUGGACAAUGGGCGCAAGCCUGAUCCAGCCAUGCCGCGUGAGUGAUGAAGGCCUUAGGGUUGUAAAGCUCUUUCAGUGGGGACGUAUAAUGACGGUACC
Molecule: ribosomal RNA, 424 nt
Filed under: uncultured bacterium
Lineage: Bacteria
Description: bacterial SSU rRNA
Rfam family: Bacterial small subunit ribosomal RNA
Source: RNAcentral